CAGAUGGUAAAGCUGAGGCUCAGAAGAGCAGGGGACUUGCCCAAGGUCUCAAAGCUAUGACUGGUAAUGGCAGCUCUACCAGCCAGGUUCCAGAGGGGGAGGUCCUGGAGCACAUCCCCCGGCUCACUCGUGAAGGACAUGUGGCCUAGGUGAGAACUAAAUCUUCACUGUCGUAGGCUAGUUCUGCUCGGAGCUGUUUCUUACUGUGGCACCAUCUAGCCUGUCCUCAGUGACACUCCAUGGUGUAGAAGUUUACGCUUGAUUUGUGACCCACGUGGGGGCCUGGAGAGAAACAGAGCAAGGUUUGCAGUUUUCAAAGACCACACUGGUCUAUCUCACUGCGGGCUUUAAACAUCAAUAAGUUUAAUGGUAGAAUUAGCCUUAAAUAUAUUCCUAGAAACUAAGGUUUUUUAAACUACAAUUCUAAUUUUUUUGGUAAAAGUUACUUUAACAGUAGUUGGAUGGUUAAUUUUGUCUGUCAACUUGACUGAGCUUAGGGACUCCCAGCUCGCUGGCAAAUAUCACGUCUGGGGGUGUCUCUGAGGGUGUUUCCCGAAGAGACUGGCAUUUGACUUUCCUCAGUAGACUGAGGAAAGAAGGUGCCCUCUCCCAGGUGCUUGAGGGCCUGACCAGGACAGAAAGGCAGAGGAACGGGGGGUUCACUCUCUGCUGGGGCUAGGGCAUCCAUCUUCUCCUGCCCGUGAACCCCAGUGCCCCUCAUUCUCAGGCCCUCGGACUCAGACUGACGGGCCCCCCUGGCUCCCUGGGUCUGCAGCGCGCAGACGGCAGGCGGUGGGGCUUCUCAGCCUCUCCAACCGUGUGAGUCAGCUCCUACCAUGAGCCUCACACAGCUCUCCAUCUAUCCUGCUGGUUCUGUUUCUCUGGAAAACCCCAACUAACACAGUAAGUCACAUAAAACCUUGGAGUAAUAAAAGAAGCAAAUUUAUUUUCCUUCCUACAUUUCUUAAAAAAGUUAACACUUGUAGCUGGGGAAGCCUUGGGCUGUCUCGGCCACACUGCCAGCCCACGGUUCUGGGUAGUUUUGUGCUCUCCUAAGUCUGAAGUAAAUCCACACACCAGCAGACCCCCUCUGGGCACCACGGUCCCAGAAGACGGGCAACCCGGUGAGGAAGGGAGCCGUGACAGCUGGAGGUGGGCUCUGCGAGGCAGGAGGCCACUGUCCUCCAUCUGAAACUGCUGCCCAGACACACAAAUCCGGCCUCCCAGCCCCAGAGGUUUGUUUUUUUCACUCAUAAUUUGGUCAUCUGUGCUAAAAUUGCAAAUAAUCACAAUGCCAUAAUAACCUUACGACUUGGUGCGUGGUGUGUUUAAGAGAAUGGAUACUUGGACCUGAAAAUGGAGUGUCUGGCUCAGGGGUCACCAACCUGCUGUAGCCAGCACCCAGAUCCAGCUCCCACCUCCUUUUGUCAAUAAAGCUUUAUUGGAACACAGCCACGCGCCUGCUUGCUGCUGUCCCGGCUGACUCGACAUCCCUCUG
RNAcentral lists this long non-coding RNA (1498 nucleotides) under Equus asinus (donkey). RNAcentral describes it as "lncRNA (ENSEASG00005035223.1)". Lineage: Eukaryota; Metazoa; Chordata; Mammalia; Perissodactyla; Equidae. The record is from RNAcentral.